RNAcentral lists this ribosomal RNA (355 nucleotides) under uncultured bacterium. RNAcentral describes it as "bacterial SSU rRNA". It matches the Rfam family "Bacterial small subunit ribosomal RNA", at positions 1 to 334 of the family's 1533-position model. The record is from RNAcentral.
GUGAGUAGUUCUAGAGUUUGAUCCUGGCUCAGGACGAACGCUGGCGGCGUGCCUAACACAUGCAAGUCGAGCGGAGCCAUCCAAAGAUCCCUUCGGGGUGAAUUUGGGGAAGCUUAGCGGCGGACGGGUGAGUAACGCGUGAGUAACCUGCCUGUAAGAGGGGGAUAACACAGAGAAAUUUGUGCUAAUGCCGCAUAUUGAGUGAAAUUCGCAUGUUUUUCACUUGAAAGAUUUAUCGCUUACAGAUGGACUCGCGUCUGAUUAGCUAGUUGGUGAGGUAACGGCUCACCAAGGCGACGAUCAGUAGCCGAACUGAGAGGUUGAUCGGCCACAUUGGGACUGAGACACGGCCCAG